RNAcentral lists this long non-coding RNA (599 nucleotides) under Salmo salar (Atlantic salmon). RNAcentral describes it as "lncRNA (ENSSSAG00000114057.1)". Lineage: Eukaryota; Metazoa; Chordata; Actinopteri; Salmoniformes; Salmonidae. The record is from RNAcentral.
GUAGAGAGGGAAUGAGAAAGAGAGGUAGAGGUAGCGGUAGAGAGGGAAUGAGAAGGAGAGGUAGAGAGGGAAUCGGAGGUAGAGGAAGAGAGAUAAAGAGAAGGAGAGGUAAAGGCAGAGAGAGAAAGAGAAGGAGAAGUAGAGAGGGAAUGAGAAGAAGAGGUAGAGCGGGAAUGAGAAGGAGAGGUAGAGGUAGAGGUAGAGAGAUAAAGAGAAGUAGAGGUAGAGGUAGAGGUAGAGAGAGAAGGAGAGGUAAAGGUAGAGAGAGAAGGAGAGGUAAAGGUAGAGAGAGAAAGAAAGAGAAGGAGAGGUAAAGGUAGAGAGAGAAGGAGAGGUAAAGGUAGAGAGAGAAGGAGAGGUAGAGGUAGAGAGAGAAGGAGAGAGAAGGAGAGGUAAAGGUAGAGAGAGAAGGAGAGGUAGAGGUAGAGAGAGAAGGAGAGGUAAAGGUAGAGAGAGAAGGAGAGGUAAAGGUAGAGAGAGAAAGAAAGAGAAGGAGAGGUAAAGGUAGAGAGAGAAGGAGAGGUAAAGGUAGAGAGAAAAGGAGAGGUAAAGGUAGAGAGAGAAGGAGAGGUAGAGGUAGAGAGAAAAGGAGAGGUAAA